This 253-nucleotide ribosomal RNA is filed under the name uncultured bacterium. Its description in RNAcentral is "partial 16S ribosomal RNA". It matches the Rfam family "Bacterial small subunit ribosomal RNA", at positions 524 to 776 of the family's 1533-position model. The record is from RNAcentral.
UACGGGGGGAGCAAGCGUUGUUCGGAUUUACUGGGCGUAAAGGGCGCGUAGGCGGCAGGCCAAGCGUGCGGUGAAAGUCCGGGGCUCAACCCCGGAUCUGCCGUGCGGACUGGUUUGCUAGAGCACUGUAGAGGCGAGUGGAAUUCCGGGUGUAGCGGUGGAAUGCGUAGAGAUCCGGAAGAACACCGGUGGCGAAGGCGGCUCGCUGGGCAGUGGCUGACGCUGAGGCGCGACAGCGUGGGGAGCAAACAGG